Non-coding RNA from Potamilus streckersoni, 77 nucleotides. The record is from the annotation of a GenBank genome assembly. Lineage: Eukaryota; Metazoa; Mollusca; Bivalvia; Unionida; Unionidae.
AACCUCUCCGGUGGCCUAGUGGAUAGAGCGUCUGCCUUAGAUUCGGGAGGUCGUGGGUUCAACCCCCUGUCGAGUCA